RNAcentral lists this ribosomal RNA (488 nucleotides) under uncultured bacterium. Its description in RNAcentral is "partial 16S ribosomal RNA". It matches the Rfam family "Bacterial small subunit ribosomal RNA", at positions 28 to 507 of the family's 1533-position model. The record is from RNAcentral.
GACGAACGCUGGCGGCGUGCUUAACACAUGCAAGUCGAACGGAAAGGCCCUGCUUUUGUGGGGUGCUCGAGUGGCGAACGGGUGAGUAACACGUGAGUAACCUGCCCUUGACUUUGGGAUAACUUCAGGAAACUGGGGCUAAUACCGGAUAGGAGCUCCUGCUGCAUGGUGGGGGUUGGAAAGUUUCGGCGGUUGGGGAUGGACUCGCGGCUUAUCAGCUUGUUGGUGGGGUAGUGACGUACCAAGGCUUCGACGGGUAGCCGGCCUGAGAGGGUGACAGGCCACACUGGAACUGGGACAGGGUCCGGACUGCUACGGGAGGCAGCGGUAGGGACUCGUCCGAAAUGGGCGAAAGCCUGACGGAGCAACGCCGCGUGAGUGAUGAAGGUCGUCGGAGCGGAAAACUCGGUUAUGAGGGAAGAACAUAUGUGUAAGUAACUGUGCACAUCUUGACGGUACCUAAUCAGAAAGCCACGGCUAACUACGUG